This is a long non-coding RNA of Parus major (Great Tit), 3871 nucleotides long. RefSeq lists it as uncharacterized. The transcript is spliced from 2 exons. Lineage: Eukaryota; Metazoa; Chordata; Aves; Passeriformes; Paridae. The record is from RefSeq and is a predicted model, not a curated record.
CUGGGUACCCUUCCCCAGAGGGGACCCCGAGCUGCCAGGAAAUUCCCUGGGAGGGCUGGGUGCAGAAUCCAAAAACCUGUGGAGUUUUUCUGGUUUUUUUAUAGGUAUUGGCCCUCUAGUGUUAUGAUUUUGUUUUGUCAGUAACAGAAAUAGAUUUUGUUUCCACGUGUCUUAAUUGCAUGUAAAUUAGUGUCUAAAAUACAUGUAUAAAUCACAUAUUAAAGUCUACAGAUUGAAAUUUAUAUGUAUAAAUUCCAUAGAGAUUAGUGUAUACUGUGUACCAGUGUUGACUAAUGCUUUAUAUUUUUGUCAUUCUGAUGUGUUAGGUUAAUGAAUCUACGUAGUUUAAAAUAGAAACAAAUAGAAAUUUAAAAAAACCCAUAAAAAUAGAAAGAUAUAAAGAUAAAUAUAUAAAUUCAUAAUAAAUUGAUAAUUUUAAAAAUAGAAAUACAUAUAUCAAUAGAAAAUCUAUAAUACAGAUGUAGAUAAAUAUGCACACAAAAUAUAAGUAGUAUUAUGUAUGUUAUUGUUAUAUUAUAUAUAAGAAUAUGUAUAAAAUAUAAAUAUAAGUUUAAAAAAAAUAUUAAAAUACAGUGCUUUAAUAUUAAAGGGCUGAGGUCAAGGGCAAAAGCUCAGUGAUCAGGGGUCAAUGGUUAAAGUGAAAAGUCAGGGAUUCAAACUUCAGGGGUCACAUGUGAAUGGUCAAGGUUCAAAGAUCAAGAAGGGUCCAAGGUCCAAUGUUAUGGGUUAAUUUUCCAAGGUUGUGUGGUCCAAGGUCAAUUUUCAGGGAAUCAAACUUCAAAGAGUAGAAGUCAAGAAUCAAAGGUCAAAAUUCAGAGGUUAACAGUAAAAGGUCAAGGGUCAGGGUCAAAGGUGAAGGGUCCAAGGUUGGAGGUUGCCAGGGAGUUGCAGGGAAGAGGAGUAUUUAUAAACUUUAUCCGUAUUUCCUUGUAAUUCUGGGUGUUUGGAUUUCUUUUGUGCUCAUCAGGAUAACCCAUAAACAAGCCCCUGAACUCUGCAUCGAUGUGUCAAACACUUCCACAGAAAGGCAAGUCAGCAGUGAUUCUAGAGGAAAAAUUAGAGGUGAUGGCUUAUGAUCCAUGGGGAAUUACACUGGGAAUUAUGAAACUCAAACACAUGGAAUUGUGGAGGUGGAAUUCCAUUUUCAGCCUUGGGCACCUGGAGGAGGAGAGGUGUCCUCAUCCAUAGUGAGGAAAGCCUGGUGCCCCAGUGUGUCAGGUGCAGGGAAUGAGCAACAAGUUCCUUCUGCCCCUGCCCUCGCUCUUGGGGUGGCAACAGCACAAACUGAGCUGUGAGGAUGAUGAGGGCUCAGGGAAGCCCCAGGUGUGAGCAGCGAUGAUGAGGAGGGAGCGGGUCCUGCCCGGGGAUGUUUUAGGGGGAGGGUUUCCCUCAGCUCACUUAGGUAUGGAGCAGCUGGAGGAGAGGGGUUUAUGGUGGGCUCCCAGAGGUGUCUCAUGGAACGAUGUUGGGAGCAUCUCGUAGGGUCUGGGGGAUCACCUGGAUGCACUUGGAUGCAGAGCAUUGCUUAAAGGAGGUGUCGAGGGACAAACCUUUGUGCCAAGAAACAGCAGAUGAGCCAGCAUGGAUUUGCAAGGGGGGACUUUUCUUCUUCAGGCCAAGCUGAGCUGAAGCGAACCGAGUAUAUAACUAGGCAAUCCUCCCCUUGCAGCUGCUGAGAGCACUGAAAACCUGUGUGCUUCGUGGUGUCCGUUGCCCAGCUGGAGACGAUUCCCUUGUGUUUGGUGCAUUAAGUCACAGCGAGCUGUGUGGGGUGGCAGGUGACCACAUUGCCCGACCCUUUUAGCUUUUCUGGCUCACACACAACUUCCUUUCCUUUUUUCUAUGGAAAACAGUGCCUGUGUGUGCCUGUGUGACCAGUUGCAGUCACCUGAGGAUUGGUAACUUUUGACAAUGAGCUCAGCACUUGCACUGGCUCCCCUCCCUGGCUGCAAUGCUGUGGGUUUUGGCAGCUGCAUUGUAAAGUUUCUUGGUAGAUUUUCAUGUCACUUGCCCUGUAAGCGUUCACCCAGGGUUCCCUUAAACAAACACACUGUGUGGCAGCAGCGAGUUUCUCUUCAUAAAGUAGAGAUAAAUUUCUGUGCUUCCUUUUUUAAGCAAUUGAACUGCUCAAGAAACUGCUGCCCGAGAUGGUGAGGUUUGAGGCCUCUCUGGAGGAGCUGGAACUUUAUAAGGAUGGGGGCUCGUGAUUCACCCAUGGAUUUGUGCACAUGCAAUGUAGCAAACCUGACUUUUAUUUCAGCCAAAGCUUAAUGUCACUGUCAGAAAACUGAAUAUGAUUUUUGGCCCAUAGUUGUUUAUGAAUUGUGUAAGCCAUUAUAUAAUCAAUUACAUAAUUGAGAUGUGUCUAGUGGAUGUAUUACUGUUAUAUUGUGUGUGUGUGUAUAUGUGAUGAUUUCAUUAUCAAACCAUUUCACUGAACAGUCAAGUUCAUUGGAGUGAAAUCUGAUUACUUGCAUUUUAAAAACUUGCCCACCCCAACCCUUUUUGAUUCUUUUUCACAGAUAUUUUAUAGGCAUAUUUCAACAUUUUCCUUCCUAAUCCACGAGUAAAGGGAGAUGUUGGGAUUUGAUCCAAAAGAUCUUACAACCGAUUUUGUGGUGAAACAGAGAAAAACUGUGAGCAGCCAACUCACUGGAAAACUGUAUGUUAAACGCAGAGAAGCACAAAGUGUUUGAUGCUGUUAGAGUUCAAAAUAACAAGGAAAAAUGAUGGGGAAUUUACCUGCCUUGGAACCAAGUAUGAUCCCAUCCCAUACUCUCAGCUCCUGCUCCCCUUCCAGCCUGGCUGUGACCCGGGCUGGCCGUACCGCUCGGUGUCUCUGGACCUCACAGCAUUUCUACGUGGCUGCUGCACCCGGGUCCCCAGUACGUCCUGCUCUGGCCGCUUUCCCCAAGCGGUCCCACGUGCACCAAGAGGCUGCUACAGACCACAGGGGCCUCUUGGCUGCAGAGCUGGGUGAUGGGAGACAGCAAAGCAAUGCCCAGGAUGCAGCUGUUCAAGCCAGCCUCGCCUCACGGAGCAUUUCUUUCUCACCUGUCCAUGGUUCUCUCUGUGUGUCUGUGGUCAUUUUUAAACUGCAGGGCUGGGAGGCCUGGCCACUUCACCUGGAGUGCUCACCCUGGGAGCACCAGUCUCUGCCUUGGGAGGAAGCAAGCUGCCACCAGAGUAAAAGCAGGGUGGAGCUGCUCUCACUCCAAGGCAAGAGCCUGCAAGGCCCAUCCUUUGGGGACUGAUCUUUUGUGUGAAGGCACAUUGUCUAGCAGAGGAAGAGGUUGGUACCUGGUGGAGCAGGGCCAAGAUUCCAUUUUCCCCAUUCUACCUCCUGCAGCACUGGCCAGGGCUGGGAGAGGAGGGGGAGUGUGUUCAGCACUGCUGCUGGAACGGAGUGGCCCUCUCAGGAGGAUCCUGGUUGCUUCAGGGCUUUGCUUUUCCACUGGUUUGUGUCCACAAAGGAAAGGCAUGCAGAAGGCAGCACCAUCACCCCAGGCCUGUAGUCAGGAGUCCAUCAGCUUUCCCCACAGUGAAAGUGGUUAAGGUCUCCUUAACCAAAGGAAAACUCAGCACCACUACAGAUGUACAGAACAGCAAUUUAUCCACCAGGGCCUUCUGACACACUUUGCCCAUUAUGUGUCCAGAGGACUCCAAAUACUGACUUUACAUGUCCACAAGUGUGGCCAAAGCCACACAUACAGAGCAACACCAAGUUUUCACUGUGUACCAAGAGAAACAAAGAUGUAAUAACAUUAUUUCUUAGACAACUGUUGGGGAUGAAGUCAAAUGUAAAGAAAAAAUGGAAAUGUAAAAAAUGAUGGAUGUUAGUGCACACGGA